Molecule: ribosomal RNA, 471 nt
Filed under: uncultured bacterium
Lineage: Bacteria
Description: bacterial SSU rRNA
Rfam family: Bacterial small subunit ribosomal RNA
Source: RNAcentral
CUGGCUCAGGAUGAACGCUGGCGGCGUGCCUAACACAUGCAAGUCGAGCGAUUACUUCGGUAAAGAGCGGCGGACGGGUGAGUAACGCGUGGGUAACCUGCCUCAUACACAUGGAUAACAUACCGAAAGGUAUGCUAAUACAGGAUAAUAUAAGAGAUUCACAUGGAUUUCUUAUCAAAGCUCCGGCGGUAUGAGAUGGACCCGCGUCUGAUUAGCUAGUUGGUAAGGUAAUGGCUUACCAAGGCGACGAUCAGUAGCCGACCUGAGAGGGUGAUCGGCCACAUUGGAACUGAGACACGGUCCAAACUCCUACGGGAGGCAGCAGUGGGGAAUAUUGCACAAUGGGCGAAAGCCUGAUGCAGCAACGCCGCGUGAGUGAUGAAGGCCUUCGGGUCGUAAAACUCUGUCCUCAAGGAAGAUAAUGACGGUACUUGAGGAGGAAGCCCCGGCUAACUACGUGCCAGCCGCUGC